Molecule: ribosomal RNA, 894 nt
Filed under: Staphylococcus aureus
Lineage: Bacteria; Bacillati; Bacillota; Bacilli; Caryophanales; Staphylococcaceae
Description: bacterial SSU rRNA
Source: RNAcentral
UUAGAAGUUUUAUUCAUGGCUCAGGAUGAACGCUGGCGGCGUGCCUAAUACAUGCAAGUCGAGCGAACGGACGAGAAGCUUGCUUCUCUGAUGUUAGCGGCGGACGGGUGAGUAACACGUGGAUAACCUACCUAUAAGACUGGGAUAACUUCGGGAAACCGGAGCUAAUACCGGAUAAUAUUUUGACCGCAUGGUUCAAAAGUGAAAGACGGUCUUGCUGUCACUUAUAGAUGGAUCCGCGCUGCAUUAGCUAGUUGGUAAGGUAACGGCUUACCAAGGCAACGAUGCAUAGCCGACCUGAGAGGGUGAUCGGCCACACUGGAACUGAGACACGGUCCAGACUCCUACGGGAGGCAGCAGUAGGGAAUCUUCCGCAAUGGGCGAAAGCCUGACGGAGCAACGCCGCGUGAGUGAUGAAGGUCUUCGGAUCGUAAAACUCUGUUAUUAGGGAAGAACAUAUGUGUAAGUAACUGUGCACAUCUUGACGGUACCUAAUCAGAAAGCCACGGCUAACUACGUGCCAGCAGCCGCGGUAAUACGUAGGUGGCAAGCGUUAUCCGGAAUUAUUGGGCGUAAAGCGCGCGUAGGCGGUUUUUUAAGUCUGAUGUGAAAGCCCACGGCUCAACCGUGGAGGGUCAUUGGAAACUGGAAAACUUGAGUGCAGAAGAGGAAAGUGGAAUUCCAUGUGUAGCGGUGAAAUGCGCAGAGAUAUGGAGGAACACCAGUGGCGAAGGCGACUUUCUGGUCUGUAACUGACGCUGAUGUGCGAAAGCGUGGGGAUCAAACAGGAUUAGAUACCCUGGUAGUCCACSCCGUAAACGAUGAGUGCUAAGUGUUAGGGGGUUUCCGCCCCUUAGUGCUGCAGCUAACGCAUUAAGCACUCCGCCUGGGGAG